GGUUCGAUGGCGUAGUUGGUUAUCACAUCUGUCUAACACACAGAAGGUCCCCGGUUCGAGCCCGGGUCGAAUCA
RNAcentral lists this transfer RNA (74 nucleotides) under Dentipellis sp. KUC8613. It matches the Rfam family "tRNA". From Rfam's summary of the family: Transfer RNA (tRNA) molecules are approximately 80 nucleotides in length. Their secondary structure includes four short double-helical elements and three loops (D, anti-codon, and T loops). The record is from Rfam by way of RNAcentral. Lineage: Eukaryota; Fungi; Basidiomycota; Agaricomycetes; Russulales; Hericiaceae.